CCAGAAUGCCAUAAAAUACUCUUAAUAAUCCUCCUCACACAGCCAUGAAGUCUGUAAGCAGCUACAGGUAAAAGAGCUGGAGAGAGCAGAAGCAGUAAAUAGUUGUUUUUGUCACUUGAGUCAGCACAUAUAAUUCUUCACACACACAGGAACUAUCUUCGCCGUGGAAGAAAAUACCAUUUGCACAAUAACUUUUCACAGUGGAACUGUGCCUUGAAUCAAACAAGCAAGUACUGAGUCACCUCUGCAGCACAGCAACAACAAUUUGAUCUGCUACGUGGCAAGCUUUGGUUUGAAGAUACUAAACAAUUCCUCAUCCCAGGCCUGGGGCUUGGAAACUACUCCAAAGGAUCUGUUGGGAAUCAAAGCUCAGCACAUCUCCAUACCUGGGGUUCCAGUAUGCAGAUACCGCCUUUGUGUAGGUUAACUUGCAGGCCUGGAAAAAACAAUGAACAAGAGAUGUGACAACCUCAAUUAUUUGGUGACGCUAAGAGCUUCGAGACAGCUCCUGCUGGAAAGAGCUGUUGGGAAGCCUGGGGGUG
RNAcentral lists this long non-coding RNA (542 nucleotides) under Gallus gallus (chicken). RNAcentral's name for it is "lncRNA (ENSGALG00010025576.1)". The record is from RNAcentral. Lineage: Eukaryota; Metazoa; Chordata; Aves; Galliformes; Phasianidae.